CAGUCGCCGCGGUAAUACGAAGGGGGCUAGCGUUACUCGGAAUUACUGGGCGUAAAGGGCGCGUAGGCGGCGCUCCAAGUUAGGCGUGAAAGUCCUGGGCUCAACCUGGGAACUGCGCUUAAGACUGGAGUGCUUGAGGAUGGAAGAGGGUUGUGGAAUUCCCAGUGUAGAGGUGAAAUUCGUAGAUAUUGGGAAGAACACCGGUGGCGAAGGCGGCAACCUGGUCCAUUACUGACGCUGAGGCGCGACAGCGUGGGGAGCAAACAGGAUUAGAUACCCCCGUAGUCCCUGUCUCUUAUAC
RNAcentral lists this ribosomal RNA (301 nucleotides) under uncultured bacterium. RNAcentral's name for it is "partial 16S ribosomal RNA". It matches the Rfam family "Bacterial small subunit ribosomal RNA", at positions 509 to 807 of the family's 1533-position model. The record is from RNAcentral.